Molecule: unclassified non-coding RNA, 326 nt
Filed under: Hevea brasiliensis (rubber tree)
Lineage: Eukaryota; Viridiplantae; Streptophyta; Magnoliopsida; Malpighiales; Euphorbiaceae
Source: RNAcentral
UCUGCAUUUAACUUGGAAACCAGAAUUAUCAAUGUCGGACUCGUUACGGAUAACAACAAUGCAAACCGCGAAACCCCAGAGCUUGCUAUUAGCCCAGUUUGAAGGCAGUUGGAUUGUUGUUGAAAAUCCGCUGGCUUGAUUGCCAAACCACUUUGGAAUAUAACUGCCAGGGAAGCAAACGCUAGAUUCCCCUGCUAGUACAGAAGGCGUCUGCACCACCACAAUCUUUUUGCAUAAAAAUUCAAAGAGAGACAGUGAAUAAAAAUUCAAAAAUUCAAAGAGAGAGAAAGACCUGAUUAUAUAGUCUUUUUGCAUAAAGCUGGAAU